ACGAAGUAGCAAUACUUAGUGGCAGACGGGUGAGUAACAUGUGGGUAUCUUCCCUUUGGUGAGGAAUAACACGAGGAAACUUGUGCUAAUACCUCAUAAGUCUUUACGGAGAAAGCUUUAUGCGCCAAUGGAUGAGCCCGCACUUGAUUAGUUUGUUGGUGGGGUAAUAGCCUACCAAGACUUUGAUCAAUAGCUGAUUUGAGAGGAUGAUCAGCCACAUUGGGACUGAGACACGGCCCAAACUCCUACGGGAGGCAGCAGUAGGGAAUCUUGCACAAUGGAGGAAACUCUGAUGCAGCGAUGCCGCGUGAGUGAAGAAGGCCUUUGGGUUGUAAAGCUCUUUCGUCGGGGAAGAAAAUGACUGUACCCGAAUAAGAAGGUCCGGCUAACUUCGUGCCAGCAGCCGCGGUAAUACGAAGGGACCUAGCGUAGUUCGGAAUUACUGGGCUUAAAGAGUUCGUAGGUGGUUAAAAAAGUUGGUGGUGAAAUCCCAGAGCUUAACUCUGGAACUGCCAUCAAAACUUUUUAGCUAGAGUAUGAUAGAGGAAAGCAGAAUUUCUAGUGUAGAGGUGAAAUUCGUAGAUAUUAGAAAGAAUACCAAUUGCGAAGGCAGCUUUCUGGAUCAUUACUGACACUGAGGAACGAAAGCAUGGGUAGCGAA
This 661-nucleotide ribosomal RNA is filed under the name uncultured marine bacterium. RNAcentral's name for it is "bacterial SSU rRNA". It matches the Rfam family "Bacterial small subunit ribosomal RNA", at positions 66 to 772 of the family's 1533-position model. The record is from RNAcentral.